CCCGGUUUAAGCGUGUAGGUGUGUGUUCCAGGUAAAUCCGGUUCACUUUAACACUGAGGCGUGAUGACGAGGCACUACGGUGCUGAAGCAACAAAUGCCCUGCUUCCAGGAAAAGCCUCUAAGCAUCAGGUAACAUCAAAUCGUACCCCAAACCGACACAGGUGGUCAGGUAGAGAAUACCAAGGCGCUUGAGAGAACUCGGGUGAAGGAACUAGGCAAAAUGGUGCCGUAACUUCGGGAGAAGGCACGCUGACACGUAGGUGAAGUGAUUUACUCAUGGAGCUGAAGUCAGUCGAAGAUACCAGCUGGCUGCAACUGUUUAUUAAAAACACAGCACUGUGCAAACACGAAAGUGGACGUAUACGGUGUGACGCCUGCCCGGUGCCGGAAGGUUAAUUGAUGGGGUCAGCGCAAGCGAAGCUCCUGAUCGAAGCCCCGGUAAACGGCGGCCGUAACUAUAACGGUCCUAAGGUAGCGAAAUUCCUUGUCGGGUAAGUUCCGACCUGCACGAAUGGCGUAAUGAUGGCCAGGCUGUCUCCACCCGAGACUCAGUGAAAUUGAACUCGCUGUGAAGAUGCAGUGUACCCGCGGCAAGACGGAAAGACCCCGUGAACCUUUACUAUAGCUUGACACUGAACAUUGAGCCUUGAUGUGUAGGAUAGGUGGGAGGCUUUGAAGUGUGGACGCCAGUCUGCAUGGAGCCGACCUUGAAAUACCACCCUUUAAUGUUUGAUGUUCUAACGUGGACCCGUAAUCCGGGUUGCGGACAGUGUCUGGUGGGUAGUUUGACUGGGGCGGUCUCCUCCUAAAGAGUAACGGAGGAGCACGAAGGUUGGCUAAUCCUGGUCGGACAUCAGGAGGUUAGUGCAAUGGCAUAAGCCAGCUUGACUGCGAGCGUGACGGCGCGAGCAGGUGCGAAAGCAGGUCAUAGUGAUCCGGUGGUUCUGAAUGGAAGGGCCAUCGCUCAACGGAUAAAAGGUACUCCGGGGAUAACAGGCUGAUACCGCCCAAGAGUUCAUAUCGACGGCGGUGUUUGGCACCUCGAUGUCGGCUCAUCACAUCCUGGGGCUGAAGUAGGUCCCAAGGGUAUGGCUGUUCGCCAUUUAAAGUGGUACGCGAGCUGGGUUUAGAACGUCGUGAGACAGUUCGGUCCCUAUCUGCCGUGGGCGCUGGAGAACUGAGGGGGGCUGCUCCUAGUACGAGAGGACCGGAGUGGACGCAUCACUGGUGUUCGGGUUGUCAUGCCAAUGGCACUGCCCGGUAGCUAAAUGCGGAAGAGAUAAGUGCUGAAAGCAUCUAAGCACGAAACUUGCCCCGAGAUGAGUUCUCCCUGAGACUUAGAGUCUCCUGAAGGAACGUUGAAGACGACGACGUUGAUAGGCCGGGUGUGUAAGCGCAGCGAUGCGUUGAGCUAACCGGUACUAAUGAACCGUGAGG
RNAcentral lists this ribosomal RNA (1437 nucleotides) under Salmonella enterica subsp. enterica serovar Kentucky. RNAcentral's name for it is "partial 23S ribosomal RNA". It matches the Rfam family "Bacterial large subunit ribosomal RNA", at positions 1506 to 2916 of the family's 2925-position model. Lineage: Bacteria; Pseudomonadati; Pseudomonadota; Gammaproteobacteria; Enterobacterales; Enterobacteriaceae. The record is from RNAcentral.